GACGAACGCUGGCGGUGUGCCUCACACAUGCAAGUCGAGCGGAUUUACUUAGUAGCUUGCUAUUAAGUAAGUUAGCGGCGGACGGGUGAGUAAUGCGUAGGAAUCUACCCUAAGGUAGGGGAUAACGGGCUGAAAGGUCCGCUAAUACCCCAUAUGCGGGUUCGUCUUCGGAGGAUUCGUGAAAGGAAGCAAUUCGCCUUUGGUAUGAGCCUGCGUCUGAUUAGCUAGUUGGUAGGGUAAAGCCUACCAAGGCUACGAUCGGUAGUUGGUCUGAGAGGAUGAUCAGCCACAAUGGGA
RNAcentral lists this ribosomal RNA (297 nucleotides) under uncultured bacterium. RNAcentral's name for it is "partial 16S ribosomal RNA". It matches the Rfam family "Bacterial small subunit ribosomal RNA", at positions 28 to 318 of the family's 1533-position model. The record is from RNAcentral.